GUCCGCGAAUAGUCGACGAAUAGUACGAAUAGUGCACGAAUAGGCGACGAAUAGUACGAAUAGUGCAAUAGAGACUUUGCAAGGCUUUGCAGCAGUGCUGUAGAACUAAAUUUACCGGGGGGGGGGCUCUGUUGACAAACAUGAAAUCGUGAAAACAUUCGUCGACGUACGUCAAUGACGUCAUACGUCUAGUGAUUGUCAUCAGUGGCGCCGUGGCCGGGGGGGCCAGGUGGGGGGCAUGGCCCUCCCCUAUUGUUGACACCCGUCGUAAAAUUGCCAAUGCUGCCGGAAAUUGUCGGAAAAUUGUCAAGGCUGUCGGAAAUUGUCAAAGUUGUCGACGGGGGGGGGAAGAUUUAAAAUGUUGUCGUCCGGAAAACUUUUUGGUUUGUCGGAAAAAUUUUUCGGUUUGUCGGAAAAGUACUGCCCUUGCCCCCCCCCAAAAAAAAACAUGGGUCCCACGGCGCCACUGAUUGUCAUUCUACUUCCUGUUAAAUAUUUGUUAAAACUCAG
Molecule: non-coding RNA, 510 nt
Organism: Paramuricea clavata
Lineage: Eukaryota; Metazoa; Cnidaria; Anthozoa; Malacalcyonacea; Plexauridae
Source: the annotation of a GenBank genome assembly